CCUACGGGAGGCAGCAGUGGGGAAUAUUGGACAAUGGGGGCAACCCUGAUCCAGCCAUGCCGCGUGUGUGAAGAAGGCCCUCGGGUUGUAAAGCACUUUCAGUGAGGAAGAACGCCUGUUGGUUAAUACCCAUCAGGAAAGACAUCACUCACAGAAGAAGCACCGGCUAACUCCGUGCCAGCAGCCGCGGUAAUACGGAGGGUGCGAGCGUUAAUCGGAAUUACUGGGCGUAAAGCGCGCGUAGGUGGCUUGAUAAGCCGGUUGUGAAAGCCCCGGGCUCAACCUGGGAACGGCAUCCGGAACUGUCAAGCUAGAGUGCAGGAGAGGAAGGUAGAAUUCCCGGUGUAGCGGUGAAAUGCGUAGAGAUCGGGAGGAAUACCAGUGGCGAAGGCGGCCUUCUGGACUGACACUGACACUGAGGUGCGAAAGCGUGGGUAGCAAACAGGAUUAGAUACCCCAGUAGUC
This 465-nucleotide ribosomal RNA is filed under the name Vreelandella stevensii. RNAcentral describes it as "partial 16S ribosomal RNA". It matches the Rfam family "Bacterial small subunit ribosomal RNA", at positions 338 to 795 of the family's 1533-position model. Lineage: Bacteria; Pseudomonadati; Pseudomonadota; Gammaproteobacteria; Oceanospirillales; Halomonadaceae. The record is from RNAcentral.